RNAcentral lists this ribosomal RNA (758 nucleotides) under bacterium LGM75. RNAcentral describes it as "bacterial SSU rRNA". It matches the Rfam family "Bacterial small subunit ribosomal RNA", at positions 61 to 814 of the family's 1533-position model. The record is from RNAcentral.
GUCGAGCGGUAGAGAGAAGCUUGCUUCUCUUGAGAGCGGCGGACGGGUGAGUAAUGCCUAGGAAUCUGCCUGGUAGUGGGGGAUAACGUUCGGAAACGGACGCUAAUACCGCAUACGUCCUACGGGAGAAAGCAGGGGACCUUCGGGCCUUGCGCUAUCAGAUGAGCCUAGGUCGGAUUAGCUAGUUGGUGAGGUAAUGGCUCACCAAGGCGACGAUCCGUAACUGGUCUGAGAGGAUGAUCAGUCACACUGGAACUGAGACACGGUCCAGACUCCUACGGGAGGCAGCAGUGGGGAAUAUUGGACAAUGGGCGAAAGCCUGAUCCAGCCAUGCCGCGUGUGUGAAGAAGGUCUUCGGAUUGUAAAGCACUUUAAGUUGGGAGGAAGGGUUGUAGAUUAAUACUCUGCAAUUUUGACGUUACCGACAGAAUAAGCACCGGCUAACUCUGUGCCAGCAGCCGCGGUAAUACAGAGGGUGCAAGCGUUAAUCGGAAUUACUGGGCGUAAAGCGCGCGUAGGUGGUUUGUUAAGUUGGAUGUGAAAUCCCCGGGCUCAACCUGGGAACUGCAUUCAAAACUGACUGACUAGAGUAUGGUAGAGGGUGGUGGAAUUUCCUGUGUAGCGGUGAAAUGCGUAGAUAUAGGAAGGAACACCAGUGGCGAAGGCGACCACCUGGACUAAUACUGACACUGAGGUGCGAAAGCGUGGGGAGCAAACAGGAUUAGAUACCCUGGUAGUCCACGCCGUAAACGAUGUCA